CCCGCACAAGCGGCGGAGCAUGCGGAUUAAUUCGAUGCAACGCGAAGAACCUUACCAAGGCUUGACAUACACCGGUAACGCCCAGAGAUGGGUGCCCCCUUUGUGGUCGGUGGACAGGUGGUGCAUGGUUGUCGUCAGCUCGUGUCGCGAGAUGUUGGGUUAAGUCCCGCAACGAGCGCAACCCUCGUCCUAUGUUGCCAGCGGGUCAUGCCGGGGACUCAUGGGAGACUGCCGGGGUCAACUCGGAGGAAGGUGGGAUGACGUCAAAUCAUCAUGCCCCUUAUGUCUUGGGCUUCACGCAUGCUACAAUGGCCGGUACAAAGGGCAGCGACACAGCGAUGUGAAGCCAAUCCCGAAAAGCCGGUCUCAGUCCGGAUUGGAGUCUGCAACUCGACUCCAUGAAGUUGGAAUCGCUAGUAAUCGCGGAUCAGCACGCCGCGGUGAAUACGUUCCCGGGCCUU
RNAcentral lists this ribosomal RNA (461 nucleotides) under uncultured Cellulomonas sp. RNAcentral's name for it is "bacterial SSU rRNA". It matches the Rfam family "Bacterial small subunit ribosomal RNA", at positions 920 to 1382 of the family's 1533-position model. The record is from RNAcentral. Lineage: Bacteria; Bacillati; Actinomycetota; Actinomycetes; Micrococcales; Cellulomonadaceae.